GUCAGCAUGCAGCAAUCAAGACUGUCAAAGGCACUACAUGCAGAAGCUGCUGGUUCACCUAGUCAGCAAGCUGUUAUGUUUCAUUUUGUAAUUUUAAGAUAGAGUAAUGUAACUUAGUUGCUUUAUAACUAUGUUAGGUUUAUGCUUGAUGUAAUUUUGAUGUUGAUUGAGCUGAUAAAUCAGCUUUGUCUAUUUGUUCAAGCUAAUUAGCACAAGUUACUAUGUGUAUUAGUGGUAGUAGGUGAAGUUUAGGUCAACCUACUGUUUUGUCAAGAUUGUAAACUUGUUUAUGUAUUGGCUUUGGGCCAUUUUGAAGUUUAAGGAAUGAAUUCAACAAGUUUUCAUCCAUAUGCUCUCCAUUUUUAGUUUUGCUUAAAAAUCCAUUUGAGUUUUCUGCUUUGUUUCUCCUACAAGUCACGAGACUUGCAAAACAAGCAUUCUGCUGAAGCUUGCUGUUGCUGCCUCUUGCACCAACAAUUGGUAUCUAGAGCCGUAUUCUUAGAGGACCUGUUGUAGUUCAACAUCAAAACGAUGGCAUCAUCAGGUUUUUCACCAGCUUCACCACCUGUCUUCAAUGGAGAGGGCUUCAACAUUUGGGCAGUUAAGAUGAGGACUUACCUGCAGGCAUUCGACCUAUGGGAAGUUGUCAACUCAGAUGCUGAGCCAGCACCUCUUCGAGCUAAUCCAACAGUUGCUCAAAUAAGGCAACACACUGAUGAAAGAACAAAAAGGCACAAGGCCAUGUCAUGCAUACAGAAUUGUGUGACAGAUGUGAUCUUUAUGAGGAUCAUGGCCUGUGAAACACCAAAGGAGGCUUGGGACAAGCUGAAAGAAGAAUUUCAGGGGACUGAGAAAACAAGGCAACAACAGCUGCUCAACUUGAGAAGAGAUUUCGAAAAUCUCAAAAUGAAAGAGGAAGAAACAGUUAAGCAGUACUCAGAUCGGAUUAUGGCUGUUGUAAACAGCAUAAGGCUCCUAGGAGAGCAAUUCAGUGAAGCUAGAAUGGUUGAGAAAGUCAUGUCCACUCUACCAGAGAGGUAUGAAGCUAAAAUUUCAUCCCUCGAAGACUCAAGGGACUUGACAACUAUCUCCUUAACUGAGCUAAUCAAUGCCUUGUAUGCACAAGAGCAAAGAAGAGCCAGCAGACAAGAGGAGCACCAGGAAGGGGCUUUUCAAGCCAAAGAAGCCUCGAGCAUCAAAACUCAUAAAGGCAAAAAGUUCUGGAAAAACAGGCCUAAGCCUGAUGCUGCUAGGAGCAGUGACCAACUCUGCAGACAUUGUAAAAGAGCUGGUCAUCCAGAAGAUAGAUGCUGGUUUAGACCAGAUGCAGUAUGCCAACACUGCAAGAAAAAAGGCCAUGCUGAAAAAGUUUGCAAGAAUAGAAGCAAACCAAGACAGAAUCAAUUUCAGCAACAAAAGGUAGAAGCUCGAGUAGCUGAAGAAAGCAGUGAUCAAGAAGAACAUGUUUUUGCUGUGUCAUGUGCAGCAAAUCAGAAAAAGGGUGCAAAGGGCUGGCUUCUAGACAGUGGGUGCACAAACCACAUGUCACCAGAUGCAACUAUCUUCAAAACCCUGGACAGAACCUGCAAAACCAAAGUAAAAAUUGGAAAUGGUCAGUUAAUCAAUGCUGAAGGAAAAGGAGAUGUGCUGAUUCAUACCUCUACAGGUGGCAAAAUCAUUUCAAAUGUACUUUUGGUACCUGAAAUUGAUAGGAACCUUCUCAGUAUAACUCAACUACUUGAGAAAGGUUACUCAGUUGUUUUCAAGGAGAAAGAAUGUCAAAUUUUUGAUCCAAGUGGAUCAAACCUCAUAACAGUCACCAUGACUGAUAAAUGUUUUGAAGUAGACUGGCCAAAUGACUCACAUUCAGCCUGCAUAGCCUCCACUGAUGACUCGAGACUCUGGCACCAGAGGCUUGGACAUGCAAACUACAAAUCCAUAGCCCGCAUGGUCAAUGAAGGUCUGGCAGAAAAUUUCAUCGAUUCAGUGAAGAAUGAUGAGCUUUGUGAGAUAUGUCAGCAAGGAAAAUUGGCAAGAUUGCCAUUUCCAACAAGCACAACAUGGAGAGCAUCAGAGAAGCUCCAGCUUGUGCAUACAGAUGUGUGUGGACCAAUGAAGACUGAGUCUCUCAAAGGAAGCAGGUACUUUAUUUUAUUUAUUGAUGACUUAACAAGAUACUGCUGGAUUUAUUUUCUAAAACAGAAGUCAGAAGUUCCAUCUGUGUUCCUGAAGUAUAAAGCUGCUGUUGAAACUGAGUCUGGUUGCAAACUUAGAGCAAUGAGGUCAGAUAAUGGAACUGAGUACACCUUAGCUCAGUUCCAAGCCUACUGUGAAGAAGCAGGUAUCAAACACCAGUUGACUAAUGUGUAUACACCCCAACAGAAUGGGGUCAGUGAAAGGAAAAACAGAAGCUUGAUGAACAUGGCAAGAUGUCUUCUAUUUGAGAAGAAUUUGCCCAAAACUCUGUGGGCUGAAGCUGUUAGCACAGCAGUCUAUCUCCAAAAUAGGCUCCCAACCAAGGCUCUGGCUGAAAAGACUCCAUUUGAAGCCUGGUUUGGGUUUAAGCCAUCACUGGCUCAUCUCAGAACCUUUGGUUGUCUAUGCUACACACAAGUUCCAGCUGAGAAGAGAAGCAAGCUAGAUAAAAGAGCUCAAGCAGGGAUCCUGAUCGGCUAUAGCUUGGUUAAGAAGGGCUACAGAAUCCUAGAACCUGCUACAAACAAGAUAUUGGUUAGCAGGGAUGUUGUUUUCAAUGAAAAAGGACACUGGAAUUGGGAGAAGGCUGAACCAGAGGCAGUGGCUGAAGAUCUCGCAGUGGACCAAGUUGAAAAUGAUGAAAACACACCUGAAAUGGAUGUAGAUGAUGUUCCAAUCAGAGGCACUCGAUCACUGGCUGAUGUUUAUGAAAGAGCACAAGUGGCUACUGUUGAACCAAGUUGCUUUGAAGAAGCAGAAAACCAGGAGGACUGGAAGCAAGCAAUGAUUGAAGAAAUCAGAAUGAUUGAAAAGAAUCAGACCUGGAGUCUGGUUGAUAAACCAAUAAACAGGAAGAUUAUUGGUGUCAAAUGGGUUUAUCGAGUAAAGAACAAUGCUGAUGGUAGCCUAAAUAAGUUAAAGGCUAGAUUGGUUGUGAAAGGUUUCAGUCAAAGGUAUGGGUCAGACUACCUGGAAACCUUUGCACCAGUGGCCAGGCUAGACACUAUCAGACUGCUAGUUGCCUUAGCAGCACAAAAACAGUGGCUGAUACACCAACUUGAUGUAAAAUCAGCAUUUCUGAAUGGAUUCCUUGAAGAGGAGAUUUAUGUGGAGCAACCUCAAGGUUUCAAGGUGUCUGGCAAGGAAGAAAUGGUGUACAAGCUUAACAAAGCCUUGUAUGGCUUGAAACAGGCUCCAAGGGCCUGGUAUAGCAGAAUAGAUGGCUAUCUGACCAGUCAAGGAUUUGAAAGAAGUCUUAGCGAGCCAACUCUGUAUGUUAAAUCAACUAGUGCUGAAACUCAGCUCAUUGUCUCAAUAUAUGUCGAUGACCUACUGGUGACAGGAGGAGAUUAUGAGAUGCUAAGCAACUUUAAAGUCAAAAUGCAACAGCACUUUGAAAUGUCAGACUUGGGAUUGAUGUCUUACUUCUUAGGCAUGGAAGUGAACCAAGCUAAGAAUGGGAUUUGGCUAAGUCAAAAGACCUUUGCUAUGAAGGUUCUCAACAAAUUCUCAAUGGAGAAUUGCAAAGCAACCAGCACACCAGUUGCUGUUGGAGAAAAACUCUCGAGCCAAGACAAGCAUGAAAAGGUUUGUGAAACAACCUAUCGAAGUCUAGUUGGAUGUUUGUUGUAUUUGACUGCUACUAGACCUGACAUAAUGUAUGCUGUGAGUCUACUCUCGAGGUUUAUGCAUUGUUCAAAUGAAAGUCAUUUUAGAGCUGCAAAAAGAGUUCUAAGAUACAUCAAAGGAACUUUGUCCUAUGGAAUGCAGUUUACCAAGGCUGAGAACUUGAAGCUAGUUGGAUAUUGUGACAGUGAUUGGGCUGGUUCCUUGGAUGACAUGAAGAGCACUACAGGUUAUGCAUUCAACAUAGGCUCUGCUAUGAUUUGCUGGAGCUCAAAGAAGCAGGGAGUAGUGGCUCAGUCGACUGCAGAAGCGGAAUAUGUGGCUGCUGCUGCAGCAGUCAAUCAAGCCAUAUGGCUUAGAAAAAUUUUGAAAGAUAUCAAUCAUGAGCAAAAGGAAGCAACUGAGAUAAUGUGUGACAACCAAUCAGCAGUUGCUAUUGCAAAGAAUCCUGUUUUUCAUGGAAGGACCAAGCACUUCAACAUCAAACUUCAUGCAGUUCGAGAAAUGGAACAAGCUCAUGUUGUUAAGCUGAUACAUUGCAGUUCUGAAGAGCAAAUUGCUGAUAUUUUAACAAAAGCACUAAGUGUUUCCAAGUUUCAACACCUGAGAGCUAAUAUGGGAGUUUGCAACAUGCUAACCAAGGAGGAGUAUUGAAGUUAUGGUCAGCAUGCAGCAAUCAAGACUGUCAAAGGCACUACAUGCAGAAGCUGCUGGUUCACCUAGUCAGCAAGCUGUUAUGUUUCAUUUUGUAAUUUUAAGAUAGAGUAAUGUAACUUAGUUGCUUUAUAACUAUGUUAGGUUUAUGCUUGAUGUAAUUUUGAUGUUGAUUGAGCUGAUAAAUCAGCUUUGUCUAUUUGUUCAAGCUAAUUAGCACAAGUUACUAUGUGUAUUAGUGGUAGUAGGUGAAGUUUAGGUCAACCUACUGUUUUGUCAAGAUUGUAAACUUGUUUAUGUAUUGGCUUUGGGCCAUUUUGAAGUUUAAGGAAUGAAUUCAAC
This 4818-nucleotide long non-coding RNA is filed under the name Gossypium barbadense (sea-island cotton). Its description in RNAcentral is "long non-coding RNA (GBAR_LNC012752)". Lineage: Eukaryota; Viridiplantae; Streptophyta; Magnoliopsida; Malvales; Malvaceae. The record is from RNAcentral.